AUGGUCCGCACGAUGACUGAAGGCAUCGUGAAUAGGUUUUUGAGCUCCGCGAAGGCCAAGAUGCUUCAAAAGAACGAGACGGAGAUAAGAUGUUCGUGUCGAAGAUGUAAGCUGAAGAGCCUUAUUGUGGACCCAGAUUUCGGGCAGGUGCGGGACCACCUGCUCUUGCGUGGUUUCAUGGAUGGCUAUCGGUGGCAAGGUGAUGAAGAUGACUAUGAAGUCGUCCAUGGCCGGGGCCGGGCAAGAAAUGAGGAAGGGCAACAAGACAAGUACCACCGCGGCGAGGGCGGGCGAGAAGACGAAGAAUCUCCAGGACAUGAUCACGACGGUGAUGCUGUACACAGUCAUCAUGUAGAAGAUGUCGUACAUGAUGAUGAGGAAGAUCAAGACGAAGGGCAUGAUCAUGAAGAUGAAGAUGCCGGAGCAGACGACAAUGGAGGCUGGGUGCAGGACCCUCAUAUUCAAGAGCUGCUUCUCAAGCAGACGGAUAACGCAAGAGUUGCCGCCCGAGAGAAAGCCAAGCUGGAUCAACUAGAGAUAGACGUGGUUACUCCAUUGUAUGAAGGAUGCAGGCCCGAGGAUACCCGCCUGAAAGUAACGCUCAUGGCUCUGGAGAUGAAGGUAAAACACAAAAUGACCGACGCAUGCUUCGACAAGAACAUGUCAUUCUGGCACGAACGUCUUCCCAAGGGGAACAAGUGCCCGACCAGUUGCGAGGAGGCGAAGAAAAUCGUGUGUCCUCUGGAUUUACCGCACGUGAAAUACCAUGUGUGCAUGAACAAUUGUAUCAUUUAUUGGGACGAGCACGCGGAGUCUACCAUAUGUCCGGUGUGCGGCGUCACUCGAUACAAGAAGAGGAAGAAAGCUCCUCGAAAAUCAGUGUGGUACUUUCCGAUCACUCCUCGUCUGCAGCGGUAUUUCGCGGACCCUAAGGUAGCAAAGCUCCUGCGUUGGCACGCGGAUAGGGAGGAGAAGAAGCGGGAAGAUGACGGAAAUGAUCCGGAGAUAAAUAAAAAAGACAAGAUGCUGAGUCACCCUAAGGAUGCGAGCCAGUGGCAAGCGUUGAACUUCGAAUACCCAGAAUUUGGGAAGGAUCCAAGGAACAUCGUGCUGGGCGUGAGCACCAAUGGAGUCAAUCCGUUUGGCAGCCAGAGAAGCACACAUAGCACCUGGCCUGUGUUUGUGUGGAUGUACAACCUUCCCCCCUGGUUGUGCAUGAAGAGGAAGUACAUUCACAUGAGUAUGCUAAUUGAAGGGCCGAAACAACCAGGGAACGACAUCAAUCUGUAUCUGGGGCUGCUGAAGGAGGAGCUAGACAUGCUGUGGAAAACGCCAGCCAAUACGUGGGACGCUGCAGAGAAAGAAUAUUUCCCUUUGAGAGCCGCACUGCUCACGAUGGUGCACGACUAUCUUGGUUACGGAUAUCUCGCGGGGUAG
RNAcentral lists this ribosomal RNA (1437 nucleotides) under Triticum aestivum (bread wheat). RNAcentral's name for it is "partial small subunit ribosomal RNA". The record is from RNAcentral. Lineage: Eukaryota; Viridiplantae; Streptophyta; Magnoliopsida; Poales; Poaceae.